UCGAAUGUAUAGAACAACAUCCUUAGAACCCAUGCGGAUAUAGUUUUCAUAUAAUUUAUCUCCUUGACCAAAAUGAUCAUAGGACACCCCAGAGUUCAACUGUCAACUCUGAUCAGGUUGUCCACAUUGUAUUUCAAAAUAUCAAAUCCAUCUGAUGGAUUACCCUGACCAAGGUUUUGCUAAAUUGAAAUACAGCGACUCAUUCUUCUCCAACUCUUG
This 219-nucleotide long non-coding RNA is filed under the name Elaeis guineensis (African oil palm). RNAcentral describes it as "long non-coding RNA (EGUI_LNC080612)". The record is from RNAcentral. Lineage: Eukaryota; Viridiplantae; Streptophyta; Magnoliopsida; Arecales; Arecaceae.